RNAcentral lists this long non-coding RNA (2978 nucleotides) under Takifugu rubripes (torafugu). Its description in RNAcentral is "lncRNA (ENSTRUG00000032557.1)". Lineage: Eukaryota; Metazoa; Chordata; Actinopteri; Tetraodontiformes; Tetraodontidae. The record is from RNAcentral.
GUGCCGAGCAUCGCGCGGCGGCUCGCGCCGUGAUGAGACGCUGGAGCGCUGCGCGACUCGCGCACGGCACGCGCUGCUCUGGCUCCGCGCGCCGCCCAUUCGAACCGACGCUCGAGUCCCUGCAGAAAGUGGGUCAAAGUGCCGCGGCCGAGCGCACGCUGCGCACGUGUCACUUCCGCCCAAACUUUUAAAAUACACGCAAAAAGUGACGCGAUUAAUCAUUAACGCGUUAGGCUGUUUCGAAAGAGGACGUUUAAACAGCGGAGAGGAUGGUUAAAAGUGACGUAGGAGGGUGCACAAUGAUGGUGACGUAGGGGGGUGCACAAUGAUGAUGGUGACGUAGGGGGGUGCACAAUGAUGAUGGUGACGUAGGGGGGUGCACAAUGAUGAUAAAUGAUCCGAAAUCGGUGCAAAAGCUCCCGUUUAUCUUAUUAAUGUAUCCUAUUGCGACUAUUAAUGUUAUUUCAAUUCAUUUUACAGUUCUGCCAUUUCAAUAUUUGAGCUUUAAACUCGACUCUUUUUCAGGCUAUUUGCUGUCAUCAAGCACCGUCGUGUCAUGAGCUGGGGAAUAAUAAAGUCCAUCUAAUUAAAAGGAAAUCAAUUAAAACUGUCAACUCGAAAUGUGCAGCGUUCAAAUGAUGGCACGUUCAUGGUGUAGGAGGACUAAAACGUGUUGUUUGCAGCUGCCAGAUGAACAUUUCAAUUCAACACAGAUGAGCAAUUUUACUGAAAGGACAAUUAUUAGACUGCAUUUGGGAAAACCUGUUAAGGAAGGAGAGAAAGGAGCCCGACUGUGGCCUGGUCACCUCUGAUUCUCCUGAUUCGGCCGUGCGUCCUUCCUUUGGCAGCUUGUGUGCCGCCAGUGGCCUUGAUGAUUUCGUGUCCAUGCAGACCAGAGCGCGUUGUGACGUUGCUGAUUCGUGUGACCUGGAUUUCUUUGUGCCUACAGGUUGAAGCAGAAUAGCAGAUCUCUCUCUGACAACACAAGAGAUGACAUCUCAUGCUGGGGAAGAGCGACAACGUUCAGACAGACCCCAGGAACGUUUAAACUACACAUCAUACUUACACAUCUGUGAUGUUUAUUCCCACAGGUUUCCAUUUGAAGCAUCAGGCUGCGCAGUGAUGCUGCUGUGCUGGAGAAGAGCUCCUCUCCUCAGUCAGGGGGACGUGGAGGACCGUGUUCAAGCCCAGAAACACGUUCAAGUUGAAAGCAGAAAUCAACAUAAAAAAUGGCUCCUCAACAUGGAGUCCCACAGUGAUGUCACAGGAAGGGGAAAUCUGGGUAAAUCCAUCCAUGUGCUGGUGAUGUAACCUGCGUUGGCCAAACUUUCUACAACUGGGUCAACCUUACAGAGCCCCCCACCCCCCACCCCCACUCAUUUGCUUGUUUCCCUCUCAUUUGAAUAAUCACGUAAUAUUCUACGACAGGAGUGUCAGUAAUCUCCCAGGAUCUCCAGUAUGAGCCUUCAAUCAAACCCCCUGAGAUGCAAUUAAUGCAGCAGUGUCUGUGAUGAGUUUUCAAAGUGACUUUUCCCUUGUGAACAUCAUCUGAGCUCUGCAGAGCCCCUCAGCACCUCGGACCUUCGGACCACCAUCACCACAGAGGAACCACGUUUGCUUCAGCAAAUAAGGAGCUGAUCUGAUUCUUCUUCUUAAAAUAUGUGGAUGCUUUUUCAUCAGCUGGAAACAUUCUCCUUGAUCCAAUACCAACAACAUUAUAUCAAAAUCUUUUAUGUUUUUCUGUUUGCACAGCAGAUAAAAGUAAAGUACUUGAGAGAUGAACUCCAGUGCAGGAUGGCAGUGUUUGCGUUUAGUAAUUAUCCUUCAUGAUCCUUCUUGGCAGCACUUGAGUGAUGAAAGUUCUUGUUCCCUCAACACCAUCAGAAAUGUCUUUGAGGAUUUGCCAGAGCAGCAGCUCAGCUCCCUGAGGAAUCAGAAUAAAUCCAAGGUUAUUCCUGAUUCCCCUCCAACGCUGAAGAAGAUAAACAGCACCUCCUUCACGUUUGUGCUGAGCUGAAGUGUCGUCAGCAAUCUCCCACCUGAACCGUGUCGGGAGAGCCGCUACCAUAGCGACAAACCCCAUAAUGAUGCUAUAAUUACCGUGGCACAAAUGACCAAACUCACCCGAGUCGGUGCCGGUGGCGUCAGCUAAAUACAAACUUAACGUUCUUAAGUUAUUCAGUUCUUCAGGGCAGCAAACUUUAAAUUAAGGCCGUAACCUUUAUUCUUCUACUUUAUUAAGUUAUGAAUAAUUCACUGAAGAAAAGAUGAAAAAUAUGCCCAGAAUGUAUGAAGAGUUAUUUAAAACGGCGCUCAGAUUCAAGGCCUCUACCCCAGUUGUUAUUGAUGGGUAUUAAUCUGCGUUCUGCUGUUUCCCUGCUGUCUGAAGGUGCAGAGGGGUCGUUUUAAAAGCCGGCUGAUAGGUCCAAAACUCACGGUGUCCUUAACCAGCACGGAAAAAGUUCUGAAUCAAAGUAACAUUAAUUCUCUUAUGAUGUCCGGAUAGUUUUUGUAGAUCUUUGCGGGUGGACCUGAGUCACGAUGCUGAUUAAAAAGGUUAAAAAUAGGAGGGUUAUUUCUUUAAACAGCCUCCAGUCUGGGUCGCAUCUGAUGAACCCGUGAAGGCAGCAUCAGACUGGGGCUCAGCAGGUUCGGCUCACUUCUGGAGACAAACUCCAUCUGUCCAUCUCAUCACCUCAUCAGGGCCGUGACCAGACCAAGCAAACCCACAGAACCGCAGACGGACCACGAAUGGGCCUGCCGACGGCUGCAGAACUGUGCACAUUUGUAGAUUAUAUAAAGAACUUAAUCUACAGAAACAGUCUGAAGCAGAUGUUGUUGCUUAUUUACAGCACAUCGUAUCCACAGAGACACUGGAUGUUGUUAGCCAUUAGCGCAGCAUUGCUAAUAAUGCUGCUCACGACCAGACUCAUUGAUAGUCAGCGAUAAAUGAUGCUUUCAAAUGACUAAAUAGUGAC